This is a transfer RNA of Camelus ferus (Wild Bactrian camel), 73 nucleotides long. It matches the Rfam family "tRNA". Rfam says of the family: Transfer RNA (tRNA) molecules are approximately 80 nucleotides in length. Their secondary structure includes four short double-helical elements and three loops (D, anti-codon, and T loops). Further hydrogen bonds mediate the characteristic L-shaped molecular structure. tRNAs have two regions of fundamental functional importance: the anti-codon, which is responsible for specific mRNA codon recognition, and the 3' end, to which the tRNAs corresponding amino acid is attached (by aminoacyl-tRNA synthetases). tRNAs cope with the degeneracy of the genetic code in two manners: having more than one tRNA (with a specific anti-codon) for a particular amino acid; and 'wobble' base-pairing, i.e. permitting non-standard base-pairing at the 3rd anti-codon position. The record is from Rfam. NCBI's taxonomy places the organism in Eukaryota, Metazoa, Chordata, Mammalia, Artiodactyla, Camelidae.
GAGGGUAUAGCUCAAAUGGUAGAGCUCAUGCUUAGUAUGCAUGAGCUCCUGGGUUCAAUCCCCAGUACCUCCA